UACGUAGGGGGCAAGCGUUGUCCGGAUUUAUUGGGCGUAAAGGGUGCGUAGGUGGCGCUGUAAGUCGGGUGUGAAAUUUCGGAGCUUAACUCCGAAACUGCAUUCGAUACUGCGGUGCUUGAGGACUGGAGAGGAGACUGGAAUUCAUGGUGUAGCAGUGAAAUGCGUAGAGAUCAUGAGGAAGACCAGUGGCGAAGGCGGGUCUCUGGACAGUAACUGACGCUGAGGAGCGAAAGCGUGGGGAGCGAACAGG
RNAcentral lists this ribosomal RNA (253 nucleotides) under uncultured bacterium. RNAcentral's name for it is "partial 16S ribosomal RNA". It matches the Rfam family "Bacterial small subunit ribosomal RNA", at positions 524 to 776 of the family's 1533-position model. The record is from RNAcentral.